CAGAUGAAAAGGCUAAACAUUCCCUUCAACCAAACUGGGCUCAGGGGGCAGCAGGUCUAAUGAAUCCUGGCACUUCUUUGGCCCUUGGGGGAGCUACUUGAACUUUUAAUGAUGCUGGAGUAAGAACUCCUCCUGCAGACUCCUGGGGCCCUGGGAGCCCGGCUGCCUUCCCUAGGGAAGUUAAGGAGGGAAGUCUGUUGUGAGGAGGAGGAGGAGGAAGGCAAACAGGGGAUUUUCGUCCUCAGAACUUCUCCAGGAAGACUCCCACCCCACACCAGCCGCUGGCGGCGGGGCAGGACCUUACAACUAUGAACUUGAAGAACUUCAGUCAGCUCAAACGGCCCCUUGGAAUCACCCAGACUCAGCCUUCACUGACAGAUGGAGAAACUGAAGCCAGAGAAGGGAAACACUUGCCUAAGUUCUCCCAGCCUCGUGCGCUAAUCUAUACAGCAGGGUUGGGACUUCCUAGCCAAGGAAUGGGAGUUCUAGACCACACAGCUGAUGGGGUUUUCCUAUUCCCUAAGACACAACAAUAUCAAAACAAAGCCAAUUAAUAAUCCUACAAUGGCCUCUAAAUGCUCAGUGAAAGGAAGAGUCACAUCUCUCACUUUAAAUCAAAAG
This 621-nucleotide long non-coding RNA is filed under the name Homo sapiens (human). Its description in RNAcentral is "HSALNT0351798". The record is from RNAcentral. Lineage: Eukaryota; Metazoa; Chordata; Mammalia; Primates; Hominidae.